Molecule: transfer RNA, 73 nt
Filed under: Alligator sinensis (Chinese alligator)
Lineage: Eukaryota; Metazoa; Chordata; Crocodylia; Alligatoridae
Rfam family: tRNA
About the family: Transfer RNA (tRNA) molecules are approximately 80 nucleotides in length. Their secondary structure includes four short double-helical elements and three loops (D, anti-codon, and T loops).
Source: Rfam by way of RNAcentral
GGUGAAAUAGCUCAGUUGGGAAAGCAUUAGACUGAAGAUCUAAAGGUCCCUGGUUCAAUCCUAGGUUUCAGCA